RNAcentral lists this ribosomal RNA (433 nucleotides) under uncultured bacterium. RNAcentral describes it as "partial 16S ribosomal RNA". It matches the Rfam family "Bacterial small subunit ribosomal RNA", at positions 29 to 507 of the family's 1533-position model. The record is from RNAcentral.
AACGAACGCUGGCGGCAUGCCUAACACAUGCAAGUCGAACGAGACCUUCGGGUCUAUUGGCGCACGGGUGCGUAACGCGUGGGAACCUGCCCUUAUGGUCGGAAUAACUCCCCGAAAGGGGUGCUAAUACCGGAUAAUGUCUUCGGACCAAAGAUUUAUCGCCUUUGGAUGGGCCCGCGUUGGAUUAGCUAGUUGGUAGGGUAAAAGCCUACCAAGGCGACGAUCCAUAGCUGGGCUGAGAGGAUGAUCAGCCACACUGGGACUGAGACACGGCCCAGACUCCUACGGGAGGCAGCAGUGGGGAAUAUUGGACAAUGGGCGAAAGCCUGAUCCAGCAAUGCCGCGUGAGUGAUGAAGGCCUUAGGGUUGUAAAGCUCUUUUAACCGGGAUGAUAAUGACAGUACCGGGAGAAUAAGCUCCGGCUAACUCCGUG